This 459-nucleotide ribosomal RNA is filed under the name Streptococcus pneumoniae. RNAcentral's name for it is "bacterial SSU rRNA". It matches the Rfam family "Bacterial small subunit ribosomal RNA", at positions 28 to 471 of the family's 1533-position model. The record is from RNAcentral. Lineage: Bacteria; Bacillati; Bacillota; Bacilli; Lactobacillales; Streptococcaceae.
GACGAACGCUGGCGGCGUGCCUAAUACAUGCAAGUAGAACGCUGAAGGAGGAGCUUGCUUCUCUGGAUGAGUUGCGAACGGGUGAGUAACGCGUAGGUAACCUGCCUGGUAGCGGGGGAUAACUAUUGGAAACGAUAGCUAAUACCGCAUAAGAGUGGAUGUUGCAUGACAUUUGCUUAAAAGGUGCACUUGCAUCACUACCAGAUGGACCUGCGUUGUAUUAGCUAGUUGGUGGGGUAACGGCUCACCAAGGCGACGAUACAUAGCCGACCUGAGAGGGUGAUCGGCCACACUGGGACUGAGACACGGCCCAGACUCCUACGGGAGGCAGCAGUAGGGAAUCUUCGGCAAUGGACGGAAGUCUGACCGAGCAACGCCGCGUGAGUGAAGAAGGUUUUCGGAUCGUAAAGCUCUGUUGUAGGAGAAGAACGAGUGUGAGAGUGGAAAGUUCACACUGUG